AUUGAACGCUGGCGGCAUGCCUUACACAUGCAAGUCGAACGGUAACGGGCCUUCGGGUUCCGACGAGUGGCGAACGGGUGAGUAAUAAAUCGGAACGUGCCCGAUCGUGGGGUAUAACGAGGCGAAAGCUUUGCUCAUAUCGCAUACGAUCUACGGAUGAAAGCAGGGGACCGCAAGGCCUUGCGCGGACGGAGCGGCCGAUAGCAGAGUAGUUAGUUGGUGGGAUAAAAGCUUACCAAGCCGACGAUCUGUAGCUGGACUGAGAGGAUGAUCAGCCACACUGGGAGUGAGACACGGACCAGACUCCUACGGGAGGCAGCAGUGGGGAAUUUUGGACAAUGGGCGGAAGCAUGAUCCAGCCAGGCCGCGUGCAGGAUGAAGGCCUUCGGGUUGUAAACUGCUUUUGUACGGAACGAACAGCCUUCUUUUAAUACAGGAGGGUCAUGACGGUACCGUAAGAAGAAGCACCGGCUAACUACGUG
This 482-nucleotide ribosomal RNA is filed under the name uncultured bacterium. RNAcentral's name for it is "partial 16S ribosomal RNA". It matches the Rfam family "Bacterial small subunit ribosomal RNA", at positions 30 to 507 of the family's 1533-position model. The record is from RNAcentral.